This 21648-nucleotide long non-coding RNA is filed under the name Zea mays. Its description in RNAcentral is "long non-coding RNA (ZMAY_LNC003628)". Lineage: Eukaryota; Viridiplantae; Streptophyta; Magnoliopsida; Poales; Poaceae. The record is from RNAcentral.
GUUCAUCUAUUUAUAGGCACAGGACGCAGCCUAUGAGAAAUUACAUUUAUGUCCUUUACAAAGGUUUACAAUCAUAAUACAAGUUAUCACGGGCCGAUUGGUCAUUUCAUCUUUAAGUCGGUGCAUUUGGAAAUGUACUCCGAAGCCCUCUGAUUGAUAGCUUCGGCUUUGUGCCAUUCUUCCGAAGGUGUUUCUUCUUAUGGGACCUUCGGCGACGAAGCAGGCUCCCAACAGUAGCCCCUUCACGGUGCCAGAUCGUUUUUCGUAACGAGCUCGACCCGUGAAAAACUCUCUAAGGCUUCGGAAUGCCGAAGGUCUGAAAAACACCUUUCCUGAGCUCGUUGCCAGGAAACGAUUUAAAUAUUCCGAGUGAAGGAUGGUCCCACCAUGCAGUGGGUACGCGCGAUCUGGUGAUUCAGCUUCUUGGGCACUAUGGUCCACCGUUCAGCGAGUGCGGGUGACUGUUCAGCGGGUGCGAGCGACUUGACAAUUCACCUUCCCACCUGCAGCACUAUAUAAACAGACGGGUAGUUGUGAAGUUACCAUAGCAUUUACUGCUAUUGUACUGUUGUGCUGCCGAAAAAUUUGACCACCGUCGAAGCUUAUUCACCGUAUUCUCAAUCAAAGGAUCACUUUGCUCUAGCUUCGUGAAAAGAGGGAGCUUCGUCAAAAAUACUCAACUUCGUUAAAACGCAAGAAAUUCAACAUCAAAUGGCCAGAGUGCGCUCAACAGCUAGGGUUACCCAUGACGGAGAGGAAGCCGAAGCUACUGAAACUGCUCCAAUCUCCGAAGUUAUGAGGCGGUCGGGACUAGUUGUAACUGAGGGCUCUCCUGACGAAGGUGCCCCUGCUACUGAAACGGAGCAGGCAGACAUUGAAGAAGGUGAUAUUGGUGAAGAAGAGAUUGAUUAUAACACCGCUAUGCCAUCGAAGCCCAGCCAUUUGGAUUUUGGAAAGUCAACUGUGUCUGAAGCUGAUAUGGCUAUGAUGACGAAGCUAGGCUACUUCAGAGAAGCCGACAUGGGGUUGAUUCACUUUGGUGGGGAAGAAACUAUCCCAAAACCAUAAAAUGAUGAAGUGGUGGUCUUUAAGAGCUUCUUCAAAGCAGGGCUGAGAUUUCCUCUGCACGGGAUGAUUGGAGAUGUCUUGGAAAAUUUUGAGAUUUACCUUCAUCAGCUGACCCCUAACGCCAUUGUUAGGCUCAGCGUUUACAUCUGGGCCCUCCGAAGUCAAGGGGUGGAGCCACUCGCCGAAGCUUUCUGCUGAGUACAUGAACUUCACUAUCAGACGAAGGCUAGGGAAGACGGACUGCAUGAGAACUUCGGCUGCUACAACUUUGCUUAUCGCAAAGACAUGAAGACAUCGGUGGUCAGCUAUCGCACUAAAUGGCCGACCGGUUGGAAAUCUGAAUGGUUUUAUGUUAAGAUUGAUGAGAAAAAAGAGAAGCUAGUACAGAGCCCGCUGGAGUUAACCUUCGGGCUGACUAGGCCUCAGUGCAACAUGACGCCGGGGGGCACCAUGCCCAGAUGCUGUGUAUGAGUUUAGAGUUGUAUCUGAACACAUUGGAACUAGGGAUUUAGUUCAAGAAUACUUGGCCAACCGAGUAUUCCCGACGCUGAGGGAGUGGGGUAUGCCGAAGCUUGAAAAAGAGAAGAAGAAGAAUGAACUCGUUCGGCUACCCUAUCAUUUCAAGUUCAAGAAACAGUUCAAAGAACCCUGCCAAGAAUGGUUAGAUACAAUUGAAGUUAUGUGCAACGAGAUUUUGGGCAAUUAUACGAGAAAAGAAGAUCAGUUGAUGACUGUAGCCUUCGGCACCCGACCGAAGCGAAGAUUGAAUCGGGUAAUUGAUGCCCUGAAUUUUGAAUAUCCAGACUAUGAGCAAUUGAACAAGGGUGCCGAAGGGCAGAAAAGAAAAAGAAUUGUUAGUGUUGUGGACAGACAGGCUGCUAGAAUGGUGAAAGAGGAUGAAGAAAUCUUUAAGAAGAGAAAAUUAAGCCCUGAGCCGAAGGUAGUCGCUCCGAAGAAAAUAAAAGCUACGACCCCGAAACAGAAGGCAACUGAUAAGGAAGAAGAGGCUCCUUCAACACCUUCCGCUGCCGACGCGGAAGAAAUUCUAAAGAUAAUGACUGAAUCCUUGCCUAACAAGCUAAGUCCACUAGGGCCACAUCUGACGAAGCUUUUACAGAAGAAGAAGGAGCCCUCGGCAACGAAGAAGUCUGUUGGGCCGAAAAAACGAAGAAUUAUUACUGUGACAGAGGCCAUUGAAGAAACACCACCACUAGCUUCGGCGUUAAAAGCACCAGCUGUUGAGAGCGCUGCAUCUACCGAAGCUGCACCUGCUGAAGCCACAAUUGCCGAAGCUGCAACGGCCAAGGAUGCAAACUUAGAAAGCACACUUUCUGAUAUAGAUAAAAUACUCCUGGAUAUGGCCACAGAAGAAGUUGCUACAGCCGCCGAAGAAACCAUGGCUACAGUGCCUGGGAAAGAAAAGGAAAUAGUCGAAGAUACUUCAGAAGAUUUCAACUUUUAAAACUUAAUUGGACAAGAAUUGUCGAAAGCUGAAAAAGAAGAAUUGAGAGACUAUGCCAUAUCCUGCGGGUAUCAACCAGGGGCGCUACUCUUCGGCGGCAUUGAUGAUGAGAGCUUAGGUUGUGUCCGAGACCAAACCGGGGCGAAGGUUAUCGGUACUCUGUCGAAGAGUAUUGGUUUUCCGAAGCUUGAGACCGAUAUCAGUCGCUACCAACGACAACAUAUCGUCGGUAGUUUAUUCUAUUCCAAUUUCAAGGUAAAAAAUUUUCUUCGACUCUUCAUUAUUUUUAACAACGAAGGUAUUUUCUAACGAAGGUUGCUUCUGUACAGAGUAUGUUAUUGAGCAAAGCUUUGAGGAUGCAACAGGACCUUGAAGAUAAAAAGCACGAAGUUAUAAUUGAAGGGUUAGAAAGCAAAAUAAAAGAUCAAACCGCUGCUCUUGAAAAGAAAGAUGUCGAACUUCGGACAAUGGAAAGUUUACUGGCGGAAGCUGAAGCCAAAAUUGCAAAGCUGGAUAAGGAGCUUCUCUCAAAAUCAAAGAGUUUCGAACAAGAAAAACGGAAAUUUGAUACAAAGUUUGCAGCUGAGGCUGAAAAAAGUUCAAAUUUGCAAAAAAUCAUUGAAAGAGCUUCAAGAUAAAUGUCUAGAGUUCAGCAACCGAUGUGUGCAGCGGCUAAGGCAGAUCUUCAACUCGGUUGGAGCCAGCUCUGAGAAAUUUAGUCCUUCGGUUCAAGACCUGCCAGGGACCUUCGAACACAUUGAGGGCGAAGUUGAUGCUCUUCAUGAAGUUAUAGCUGGAACGGUGAUUUCUGUGCCCUGCUAGCUUCUCGGGGCACAGCUGUUGCCUUCAUGAAGUCCGGUUGCACGCAUGGGAAAAUUGUUAAUAGACCAAACUUCAGCUUAUCACCAGCAGAUCUGAUUGAUAUCCCCAGCCUAGCUCGAAGCAUAGGAAACAGAUUCAUAAAGCAAAUAUGGACGAAGGGUGGGCGAAGCCUAGCUGGUGACGAAGCUCGAAGUCAUCUUAAGCCGGUAAUAAAAUCAUACCUUGUGCUUACCUUUUACUUGAAACUUGAAUUUUCCUUAUAAUGCUUCGAUGUGUAUAGGAUGACGAAGCUGAAGAACACAGAGCCGAAGCUUAGCAGGCAACCCGAAGCUCAACAGAUGGUGAUGAAGCUGGAAUAUCUAGUUGUGUAAAAAUUCUAAGAAAACUUUUGUAUUAACCCUUGUAAAGAAUAUUGUAAUUUAAGAAUCAGAUUCUACUCUGUAAAUUUGUCCAUACCUUGUAAUAUAUUUUUACCUUUCCAUUGAUGUAUGAAAUGCUUUGGUGGUCGAAACCUGUAUUUUUGAGCCGAAGGCGAAAAACACCUUCCCUUCUUUUCGAACACAACGAAGCAUGAAUCUGCUUCUUGAAGCUGUAUGCUUAGAGCCGAAGCAACUGUCUGUAUCUGUAUGAUGUGAUGAUGAUCCUAUGUAUGUCUAAAUGAAUGUUUAUGAAUUUAAUGUAUGAUGUAAUGUAUCGUGCAAAUGAAUGCCCAAACACACACAUUCGAAGCUUCAUCCACAAACUUCAUUCCCUUAGGAAUGUCUGAAAUCUCUUUGUCGUUUAUUUUUCGGCUGCAUUACUUAUUUUUCGGUGUAAGUUCUGCAUCCCCUUAGGAACGUCUUUUGAACUUCUUCGCCUUCUAUUUCGGCGGUAUUCGCGUUGACGUUUCGCGCUUCGCCUUAUAUUUCGGCGGUAUUUGGCUCUGCAUUCCCUUAGGAACGACUUUUGAGCAGAAAACUUACGCUGCGCUCCCUUAGGAACGGCUUUUUGUAGCUUCGUCAUGCUCUGCAUCCCCUUAGGGACGACAUUCGAGCUUCUCCCUGUUUUUCUUUUUCUCUGCACUCGAUGGUGCAUGCUCAGGUUUUACAUUUACAUAUUUGGGGGAUAUUGCUCUCAUGGAGCUGAAUAAGAAAAGAAAAAAAUUACAAACUAUGGCCCCAUUAAAAACCUCUCUCCCCCUUUGGAAAGGAAAAGGGUGCCAUAGAAAAAUGAAAAAUAUUACAUCAAUCUAUACAUAAUAUCGUCGAAGCUCAUCCGCGUUCCAAGAUCUAGGAAUGUCAUUGCCAUCCAUAUCCUUUAAUUUGUAAGAAUCGGGCCUUGACGAAGAUACUACCAAAAAAGGUCCUUCCCACUUCAGCUGUAGUUUGCCUACUGUGUCUGGAUUAGCCACUCUCCGAAGCACCAAAUGUCCUGGCUUGAUAUUUUUCAGUCGAACUUUUCUGUCACGCCAUUUUAUUGUUUCGGCUUGAUAUUUAUUAAUAUUUUCCAUAGCCUGAAGUCUUACCCCUUCUAUAGUGUCUUUUGCCACAUGAUAAUCAGCUUCGUCUUCUACCGAAGUUGUUGUUCUUAUUGACCCUGUUUUAGCUUCUUCUGGAGUUAUAGCUUCGUCGCCAAAUAGUAACUUGAAUGGCGUGAAACCUGUUGAUCUUGAUACAGUCGUAUUGUGGCUCCACACCACUUUAAUCAACUCUUCUGACCACUUUCCUCUAGGCUGAUUAAAAAUUAACUUCAUUAUUCCUGUCAUUAUAAUACCAUUUGCUAUUUCGACAAGUCCAUUUGACUCUGGAUGUCUGACUGACGCAAAAUGAAUCUUCGUGCCGAUUUGAUCACAGAAUUCCUUGAAAGCUUCGGCAUCAAACUGUGUUCCGUUGUCCACAGUUAUAGCCUUCGGUACGCCGAAACGAUAAACAAUGUUUUGCCAAAAGAAUUUCUAGACUGUGACCGAGGUUAUUGUGGCCAAAGGCUUUGCUUCAAUCCACUUAGAAAAAUACUCCACAACCACCACAACAUAUAUUAAAUUGCCUUGUGCUGGUGGAAGUGGACCUAAUAAAUCCAGGCCCCAUCUUUGCAAUGGCCAAGUUGGUUGUAUUAAUUGGGUUAGCGACGAAGGUUGUUUCUGGUCUCUUGCACAUUUUUGACAACUUUCACACUUUUGAACCAGAUCCGUUGCAUCCGAAGCUGCAUUCGGCCAAUAAAAUCCUUGUCUGAAGACCUUCCCUAGCAAAAGGUCUAGAUCCAAUAUGAGAUCCACACAAGCCUGCAUGUAUUUCCUUCAUCAGCUCUAUACCUUCGGUUCUGGAUAGACACUUGAGAAGUGGAGAGCAGACUCCGUGUUUGUAUAACUCCCCUUCUAUUAUUACAUAUGGUCUUGUUCUUGCCUCCAUUCUCUUAUUAUAAGCUUCAUCAUCUGAAAGGCAGUUACCUUGGAGAAAAGAUAUAAUCUCAGUCCUCCAAUCUUCACUAUGAACAGGAGAUAUAUUGAGCACUGCUCUUUCGAGAAGUUACACCGAAGGUGCUCUUAUUGUCUCAAAGAAUACUUCUGAAGGUAGAGGCAGCCCCUGUGCCGCUGACUUGGCUAGUAGAUCGGCGUGCUCGUUUUCUCCUCGUGGAAUAUUCUUGACAGAAAACCCUUCGAAAGAGGCUUCAAGCCUUCAAACUGUGUCCAGGUAUUUCUCAAGCUUCCGAUCUCUUGCCCUGCAACUCUUGUAAAUAUGACCAGAAAUAACUUGGGAAUUGGUUUUAAGGACCGCCCUUCUUAUCCCCAUUGCUUUUAACUUCCGAAGCCCCAAAAGCAUCGUAUUCAGCAAUAUUAUUUGUGCAGCUGAAGUCAAGCUUUAUUGCAUAGCAUGUUCUGACUUUGGAAGGUGCAGCUAAGACGACAACCGCACCUGCCUCGAAGAUUCCCCAGGAAUCGUCGCAGAACACUGUCCAAGCUUCGACAUCUUUAUUUGCUUCUUCUUCCAGAGCCCCUGGCGUCCAAUCAGCGAUGAAGUCUGCUAACGCCUAUGACUGAAUUGAGGAUCUAUGCACAUAAUCAAUGCUGAAUUCAUUGAGUUCCGCAGCCCACUUCCCAAUUCUUUCAGUAGCUUCUCUAUUCCUCAUGAUAUCCUUCAGAGGCUGUGAUGAAGGAACAAUUAUAUGGAAUGCUUGAAAAUAAUGUCGAAGCUUUAUGGAGGCCAUUAAGACAGCAUACAACACCUUCUCCAACUCUGUAUAAUUUUUCUUUGAUAAGCUUAGAACUUCGGAGACAAAGUAUACUGGGGCUUGCUUUUUGAUUUGUCCUUCCAAUUUCUCCUGCACAAGCGCCACACUCACUGCAGAAUGCGAAGCUACCACAUACAACAGUAACGAAGCCCCUGGCGCAGGUGGAGUUAGUGUUGUUAUAUCAAUUAAGUAUUGCUUCAGCUUUUCGAAGGCUUUCUAUUGAGCUGGUCCCCAUUGAAAGACUUCGACUAACUUUAGUAUUUCAAAGAAUGGCAAGUUUCUUUCUGAUGAUCUAGAUAUAAAUUUAUUCAAUGAAGCCAGCCUUCCUGCCAGCCGUUGGGCCCCCUUCUUUGUGCUCGGCGGUUCCAUUCGAAGGAUGGCUUCGAUCUUGCUUGCAUUAGCUUCAAUCCCCUUCAUUGAAACCAGACAGCCAAGGAACUUACCCUUCUUCACUCCAAAGACACACUUUUUAGGAUUUAAUUUCAGGCCAGCUUGUCUGAAAUUGGCAAAUGUUUCUAGCAGAUCAGUGAUGUGAUUUUCUUGCUUCGUGCUUUUUACUAUGAUAUCAUCAACAUAUGUUAGCACAUUUCUGCCUAUCUGGGAAUGGACCUUGGCCGUCAUCCUGCUGAAACUGCCUCCAGCAUUUUUGAGCCCCUCAGGCAUCCGAAGAUAGCAAUAGGUUCCACUGGGAGUUAUGAAGCUAGUCUUCGGCUCAUCCUCCUUCUUCAUCCAUAUUUUAUGAUAUCCUGAGUAGCAAUCCAGAAGACUCAUAAGUUCUGAAGAAGCUGCUGCAUCCACAAGAGAGUCUAUCCUUGGUAAUGGAAAUUCGUCCUUCGGACAGGCCUUGUUGAGAUCUGUGAAAUCAAUACACAUUCUCCAUUUGCCAUUAGCCUUCUUCACCAUAAUAGUAUUGGCUAGCCACUUUGGAUAUUUUACUUCUCUGAUGACACCAGCACUGAGAAGUCUUUUUACUUCAUUUCGAGCACCUUCGGCUUUAUCAUCAGACAUUUUCCGAAGCCUUUGCUUUCUGGGCCUAAAGGAUGGAUCGACAUUGAGUGAAUGUUCAAUGACAUCCCUGUUGACACCACAGAGAUCAUUGGCCGACCAUGCAAAAACACCUUUGUUGUUGAAUAAAAAUCUUAUCAAAGUUUUUUCCUGCUCUUCAGAUAAUUGAGACCCCAGCAGUACCUUCUGCUCUGCUAUGUCUUCACACAGAAGCAUGGGCUUCGGCUGAUCAGCCGAAGUAGCCUUCUCUCUUCUGUACUUGUACUGCUCAUAGGCUUCGGCUCCAUCUAUAUUGUGGAUGGCUUUUGAGUCUGUCCAAUUUCCCUCAGCCUUCCUGGCAGCUUCCUGACUUCCAUGAAUUGCAAUAGGCCCUUGUUCCGAAGGUAUCUUCAUUUAUAGGUAUGCUGGAUUAAGAAUUGCUUCGAAAGCAUUAAGUGUCCCGCGUCCAAUAGUUGCAUUGUAGGGGUAUUCCAUGUCAACAAUAUCAAACACAACGUGUUCAGUCCUUGUGUUGUGGACAAAUCCGAAGGUCACUGGCAUUGUGAUCUUGCCAAGUGCUACGAUCUGCCUUCCUCUGAAGCCACAAAGAGUGUGUGUAGCAUCAUGAAUCUUGUCCUCUGGCUCUUGCAUCUAUCUGAAGGCUUUAGCAAAUAUGAUAUCCGCUGCACUGCCUAUAUCAACCAGAACAUUGUGGACCAAAAAUCCCUUGAUAACACAAGAUAUAACCAUAGCAUCAUUGUGAGGGUAAUCCUUAAGCUGAAGGUCCUCCUGGGAGAAGGUGAUUGGGAUGUGGGACCAUUUUGAUUUGAUGAAGGGUCCCUGCACCCCAACAUGCUGCACCCUUCUCUGGGCCUCCUUCUUCCGUUUCUUGUUGGCUAGUUCUGAACAUGACCCACCUGUUAUCGGGAGCACCAACUUCAUAGUCGAAGCAACUUUAGCUUGGGUUUUGGAUGAAGCCAUCAGCUCAAAAGUGGAAGUGAGUUCACUGGAGGUGGGCGCCAAUGUUGGGGACUUGUUCUCAAAUGUUAUGAAUCAGGAACAAGGCAACACAAAGUAUUAAAUGUUAAUGUCAUUCGUCCUUUGAAGCAUUAUUUCCCUUAGGAUAUAAUGAUCUUCGGACGAAGGUCAUGAAAGACGUACCUUCAUCAUCAUGAUAUAAGAAAAUGAAAGGCAAAAUGUUGACACCUUUUUCGGGCGCCAAACACUGCGUGAGAACCGGUGGCGGUGCCCUCUGCAGAGGCGCGGACGGUCCGCGGCCAGGGGCCGGACAGUCCGCGACCUGGUACAAGGGGCUGGCGUUCCCUGCCUGACGGCCGGACGGUCCGCGCCUACAGGCCGGACGAUCCGCGCGUGCGCAGGGGCGGCGAAGGUCGCCGGCGGCGCCUGGAUCUCGCUCCCGGGAGGGACCCCGUCGGGGAGGAGAGAUCCUAGGGGUUGUCUAGGCUCGGGUAGGUCGACCUAGACUCCUCUAAUCGACGUAGAGCCGAAGAGAAGCGGAGAAUUUGGGGAUUGGAAUACUAAACUAGGGCUAAACUAGAACUACUCCUAAUGCGUAAGGUAAAAACGAGAGAUAGAUUUGAUUUGAUCGAUUGUUGGGGGUUCAAUCGGCCGUAGCCCUUCAUCUAUAUAAAGGGGGAGGUCUGGAUCCGCUUCGAUCUGAUUUCCGAGUCAAUCCCACGAUUUUAGGUAACAAAUCCCGCGAGAAACUAGGAACCCUAACUGUCUGUGCCACCGCGGACCGUCCGACCUCAGGGCCAGACCAUCCGUGAGGCUCUUUUUAGCCUUCAACAUAUGCCCCCCUGCCUUUUGGUGAAGGUUAACGAACCAAAAGCAUAUGAACUAAACCUGAUGUAAUUCACCGGCUUUUCAAAAUGGAGAUCAUUCAAUAAAGCACCAAUGUAUAAAGGCCGUUUUGGAUUGUAUCUUUCUCGGCCAUGACCAUUUGAUCAAUGGAUCAAAAUGAAUAGAAUGGAGGUGCCCCCCAAUCCGAAUAGACAAAGGGACUAUAAAUGUACCAUGGAUUCGUCGUCAUGCCAUUCCACAUUUGAGUAGGACAAUAUACCAACGAUGAAUAAAUAGGUGGAAAGUACCCUGGUCUCAUAGGAUGAACAGGCGAUUCUUGUCGCGUCGCCUUUUGGGCCGUUUUGUUCGGCUGUUUCGUUUUAGCAGGUGACUGGGGUUUCUUCGUUGACCGAUCACGUGGAACAGUCUUUUUGCUAGCAUUUUUGGAGAGCAACUGAUCAAAACUACUAUAUGUGAUUCGCCCUUGCGUCUCUUUCCUUGCUCCGUGUAGAGGCUGACGCCUUCGGUCAUAGGUGGACUGUCCGGCUGGGUUAGCCAGACCGUUUGUCUGAGCAUCGGACCGUCCGCACGUAGGUGUCGGACCAUCUGUGAUGCUCAGGCCACGCUGAUGUGUUUGGUUCAUUAAUUGUGCCUGCCCCCCGGCGCCUUCGGACUUUUUAGCCUUCUCGUCCGAAGCCUUUCGAGUAGUGUCCUUUUGCGAUAUAAUUGACAUGCGAGGAUCGCCAAUGACGACGUCCUUGCCUUUGCCUUUAUCGGCCAUUUCGGGCCGAACCAAGACCUUUUUGCAUGUGAGUUCUAUUGUAUUAACAGGAAAAGGUUGUGUGUCUACUUGCAUCUCCUGAAAAGCCAAUCGGCCCUCAUUUAUGGCCGAUUGUAUCUGUCGACGAAAAACAUUACAAUCAUUGAUGGCAUGAGAAAAAGAAUUAUGCCACUUACAAUAAGCACGCCUUUUUAAUUCAUCAGGAGGAGGAAUAGUAUGAGUUAAUUUAAUGUUGCCGUUUUUUAGUAACUCGUCAAAUAUUUUAUCGCAUUUGGCAACAUUAAAAGUAAACUUAACUUCUUCUUGUCAAUUCUUUCGAAUCGUCUGUAAAGCAGAACAUGCUGAAGGCUUAGCCUGUCCUGGCUAAACCAGUUCGGCGGUGUAUACAUCCGUGGAUUCAUCGUCUGAAUUAUCGUAUCCCACUAGAUGCAUCUUAUGGCUAGCCGAUUUUGAUGUUUCCUUACUUCGGCUUUCACAGGUCAUAGCCCGCUGGUGCAAGUGCACUAGCGAAAAGAAUUGGGUGUCAUCUAAUUUUUCUUUUAAGUAAGGUCGCAACCCAUUGAAAGCUAGCCCUAUUAGUUGUUUUUCUGCGACAUGGAUCUAAAAGCAUCGGUUUCUAGUGUCCCGGAACCUCCGGAUAUAGUCAUUAACCGAUUCUUCAGGCCCCUGUCGGACUGAGGCUAAGUCAGCCAAUUCUAAUUCAUGUUCUCCUGAGAAGAAGUGUUCAUGAAAUUUCUGCUCUAAUUCUUCCCAAGAGUUAAUAGAGUUUGGUGGCAAGGCUGCGUACCAUGCGAAUGAAGUAUCAGUAAGGGACAACGAGAAUAAACGAACACGGUAGGCUUCCCCAUCAGCCAAUUCUCCCAAGUGUGCUAUGAAUUGGCUUAUAUGUUCGUGUGUGCUUUUCCCACCUUCACCGAAAAAUUUAGAAAAGUCUGGUAUUCUAGUUCCCUGUGGAUACGGCACGGUGUCGAAUCGGUAGCUAUAAGGCUUCCGAUACGAUUGCCCUGUACCUAACACACUAACACCGAGUUUGUCCCUGAACACCCUAGCUACUUCGUCUCUGAUCCUCUCCGCCAUGUCUGGCGACCAUCCAUUGAGUUUGUGGGUGGAAAUCUCAGGUUGCCUGACAUCACUCUGUCGACUUUCCUCCCAGGGAUGUUUGAGGUGUGUGUUAGGUGUCCUAUUAAUGUCAUCAGCUCCUGCCCUAUACCUCUCAGACUCUCUUGUGGCCGAACAGUAUUCAGCCCUAUGUCCAUGAGGUGGUAUGGUAUGAUUAUAAUGUGUUGCUGGUGGGGCACCAUAAUGUUGCUGCGAUGAAUGUGGAAACUGUGCAUAUUGCGCAGCUCUCGGCUCUGCGUACGCAUAUCCGGACGGUCCGACGUAAGAGGCCGGAUGGUCCGCGACCUGGCCAAACGGUCCGAAGGUAUAUCCGGAACGUCCAGCCAUAUAAGGUGCUACGUGGGUAGUCUCGUACCGAGACCGUCUGUCGUAAAGAACUAGACGGUCCGAGAUCGGUCCGAAUGGUCCAGGGCUGUACCCGGACAGAUCGGUCAUAUAAGGCGCGACUUGGGCAGUCUACACGUGGACUCGUGUAGAGUCGGAUGGUCCGGCGUAAUACGUCGGCCGGUUCAUGCCAUAUCCGGACGGUCCGACGUAAGAUGGCGGACGGUCCGCAACAUAUCCGGACGGUCCGGCGUGAUGCGCCGGACAGUCCGUGAUGGGGCCAAAUUGUUUGGGGUUGUACCCUGAUGGUCCGGCCAUGUACGGUGCGACCUGAGUGUUUUGUGUGCGGGUCUGCAUCGGGUCGGACGGUCCGGUGAAACACGCCGGACGGUCCGCAGUAUAACCGGACUAUCUAAGAUGAUGCUCGGACGGUCCGGUCGCGUCCAGUACCUGCCGCGUGCCUAGUGGUUGCGGCUGUGAUGGUGACACGAAAGCGUGCAUCGGCAUACCAUAUGAUGGCUGGGUCAAGGGUGACCCAUUUAUAGCUGAUGUGUUUGACGCGGGUGGUUCUGUUUAGACUCUCGCGAUGGAAAGCUAGGAGCAGCUGAUUUCUCGUAUGCACGUAAAUGCAUUUUAACAGAUUUAUCUACAUAUUGCUUUAACUGAUCUCCUCAUUGAUCCAUGAAAGUCGUAAGAGCUAGAUCUGGAGUACUUACAGCGGGACCCUGAAGUGGAGGUAGGAGAGAUUCCAUAUCGAUCUCCCCUUGACGGAUGAUCUUCUGGUGGCGAUCCACCGUGAAGUGUGACAAGUACUUUUCUGCCGCCUCCUUGCGCCGUUCGGAGAGUUUAUGCAGCAGUUCCGCCUCUUCCUUGUCGCUUUGUUCGUUCCAUUGCGGCAUCACCUCCUUCUCAUCGUGCAUUACGAGGUCUUCAAAGGGUCUUUGGUCAUCAGCCGGGAGCGCCUCCAUGGCCGGCUUGAUGAUGUUGGUGGUGGAGAUCUUGGUGUGAUCCUUAGAACCGGCUAUCUAUGGGCCGAUUUUUAGUAGGUCUAGACACCUAUUCCCCAGCGGAGUCGCCAAAAAGUAUGUUGACACCUUUUUCGGGCGCCAAACACUGCGUGAGAACCGGUGGCGGUGCCCUCUGCAGAGGCGCGGACGGUCCGCGGCCAGGGGCCGAACAGUUCGCGACCUAGUACAGGGGCUGGCGUUCCCUGCCUGACGGCCGGACGGUCCGCGCGUGCGCAGGGGCGGCGAAGGUCGCCGGCGGUGCCUGGAUCUCGCUCCCGAGAGGGACCCCGUCGGGAGGAGAGAUCCUAGGGGUUGUCUAGGCUCGAGUAGGUCAAACUAGACUCCUCUAAUUGACGUAGAGCCGAAGAGAAGCGGAGAAUUUGGGGAUUGGAAUACUAAACUAGGGCUAAACUAGAACUACUCCUAAUGCGUAAGGUAAAAAUGAGAGAUAGAUUUGAUUUGAUCGAUUGUUGGGGGUUCAAUCGGCCGUAGCCCUUCAUCUAUAUAAAGGGGAGGUCUGGAUCCGCUUCGAUCUGAUUUCUGAGUCAAUCUCACGGUUUUAGGUAACAAAUUCCGCGAGAAACUAGGAACCCUAACUGUCUCUGCCACCGCGGACAGAGACCGUCCGACCUCAGGGUCGGACCGUCCGCGAGGCUCUUUUUAGCCUUCAACACGAAACAUAUGAAACAUGAAAGAUAACAUGAACAAAUAUAUGACAUCAUUCACAUGUCUUCAUUAUAUAAACUUGAAUAUUCAAAUACGAUAUUUAAUUAUAUUUAUACCUUCGGCUUUGAUAAAAGGCAAAAAUACGAGUGUUGUGCCCGAGCGAAUACAAGAUAGCGUGAAUAGUACAUCUAUUUAUAGGCACAGGUCGUAGUUUUUGAGAAAUUACAUUCAUUUUAACCAAAAGGGCAGUGCCCCCUAUUUCAUUAAGAAAUAGAACGAUAGAGUUUUUACAACCAACACAGGUCACGAAGCCCGCCAUUCAACAAGGAUGGCACAUGGCUACAUCCCACCAGAGCAACGCCAAAAAAGGGAUCAGGGACACAGGAAUCCAAACUUACAACCUUAUUUAGAUCAACUAAGUCUUACCAAACACUUACUUAAUUGUCUACAACCGACCACUCUCAGCUGCCUGAAACCAACCAUAACCGAUCAAAGGCAAGGUAACAGACAAUGCACACCUAGCAAAUCAGAAGACCAAGCAGUUUGUAAGACAGAACACAAUCACCAAUUCACCAUGUGAUACUUCUUGUCACCGGAGCCCACCCAUGCGUGCGAUUAAACACCUCUCUUGCCGUCUCUCUGAUUCGCUUGCUUCCUGCCUCCAACAUCUUUUUUGUUCUCCCUGUCUGCAUUAGUGCCCAGUAAUCCAAAAGAGAACAACACAUGAAGAUUACAUCAGUGGGGUCAUUAUGGAGUUUUUUUAUUAAAGCAAACGGAAUUUCUGGACUUCCAGAUCGCCCAUAGAACAGCUCCGCACCCAACUACAACAGAUUUUCUGUACCCCUUAUCAAAGUUUCUAAGCCACACCCCAGUUAGAUGUUCCACAUCUGACGGAGUAGUAGGCAAAUAAAGUGCAAUCUGAAUCAGACGCCAAAUGAAUCGAGCUACUGAGCAUUCAAAAAACAAAUGCUUAGUAGAUUCAAACAAGCCACAAAAGACGCAAUCAGAGACCCCAAACCAGCUUCUUUUAAUCAAAUUUUCCUUCGAGAGAAUUCUGUUCUUGAUAAUCAGCCAUAAGAAUAUCUUGAUUUUAUGGGGGAUUUUGAUUUUCCAUAAAAAUCUGUAAGGGACUUUAACUCCCUCACAACUAAUCCGGUUAUAUAAGGAUUUAGUAGAGAAGCCAUUUUUAUCAAGAGACCAAUUAACACGAUCUAUUUCUUGGGACAAAUGAAUAUCAGAGCACAUUCUCUUUAAAUUUUCAAACAUGACAGCAUUUUCACCUACCAAAUGCCUUCUAAAAUUCAACCCCUGAAAAUUAGAAGAGAUCACUUGGUCAACCCUGAUUUUUUGUCAAAGGUUAAAUCAAAUAACCUUUUGAACUUGACUCUAAAAGGAGAAUCCCCACACCAGAUAUCCAGCCAAAAACAAGUAUGAGAACUAUUCCCAACUUUUUUUUGUGCAGAAUUUAUGAAACAGAUCUUUAUUCUCCAAGAGCCCCCCUCCAAAACUGAGAUAUAUUUUGUUUUUUUCCACCACAAUCAAGGGAUUAUCUUUUAUAUAUUUAUGCCUGAUAAUCUUUUGCCACGGUCCAUCCGAAGUCUCCAACCUCCAUAACCAUUUGGUCAACAGGCUAAUGUUCAUGUUUCUCAGAUCAAGAAUACCCAAACCCCCUUGAUCUUUCGGGGAGCAAACUAUCGGCCAAUUAACCAAAUGAUAUUUCCUAGUGUUAUCUCCACCUUGCCACAACAUUCUUUUUCUAAAAGUAUCCCAAUUUUUACAAGCUUAGGGGCCAAGAAUAAGGAAAGCAUGUACUGGGGGAGGUUUGAAAGACUGCUAUUAAUCAAAGUCACUCUCCCCCCAAUGCUCAGAAAUCUACUUUUCCACAUUCCUAAUUUUUUGUUCAUUUUUUCCUCCGUAAAAGCCCAUUUCAUAUUGCUUAGCUUCUUACAGUCAAUGGGAAUUCCCAAAUAUUUCAUUGGAAGGAAAUUAACAGGACAAGUAAAAAUAUCUGAGUAAAGUUCUUUGACCCGUAAAGCACUACCAAAGCAGAAUAUUUCACUUUUGUGAAAAUUGAUUUUUAAUCCUGACAUCUGUUCAAAAAGAAUGAGAAUGAACUUCAAAUUUCUGGCCAUUUUUAAAUCAUCCUGCAGCAAAAAAAUUGUGUCAUCUGCGUAUUGCAGACUGAUCACCCCUUUUUCAAUAAUGUGAGGAACCAUGCCCACGAGAAGACCCUCAUGCUGCGCUUUAUUAACCAAACAAGCUAGUCCAUCCGCAUCAAUGUUAAAGAGGAGAGGAGAGAAAGGAUCCCCUUGCCUGACCCCUUUAUGUGUAUUGAAAUAAGGACCCAUAGUAUCAUUAGUCCUAACAGCCACUUUUCCACCCCUGACUGUUUUCAUUACCCAAUCACACCAUUUCUCUCCAAAGCCUUUUUUGUCUAACAUUUGGUGUAAAAACUGCCAAUUGACUUUAUCAUAUGCUUUCUCAAAAUCAACUUUGAACAUUAUUCCAUUUUGUUUUUCCUUUUUAACCUCGUGAAGAAUCUCAUGUAAAGCUACUACAUUAUCCAGGAUGUACCUUUCCUUGAGGAAGCCUGACUGCGAAUUACUAAUAACCUUAGUAAUGCAUGACGCCAGCCUGUUAUUAAGGGUUUUUGUGAUAAUUUUAUAGCUCACAUUUAAAAGGCAGAUUGGUCUAUAGUUUUUCAAUUGUUUUGCUUCCUCGGUCUUAGGAAGUAAAGUGAUUAUACCAUAGUUAAGUCUUUCUAUAGGAAGCACACCUUUAUGGAAGUCUUCAAACAUGUGACACAAGUCAAACGAAAUCACUUCCCAAAAAUCUUGGUAGAACUCGGCCGGUAAUCCAUCGGGACCAGGGGCGCUGUUAUGUUUCAUGGACUUAACCACAUUAUGGAUUUCGUGAAUAGAAAAAGGAGAAGUGAGAAAGGACUUAUCCUCUUCCCCAAGCCUAACCAUAUCGACAUUACUCAUAGAAAUAUGAGUAUCGUCAGAGGCCCCGAACAGAUUUCGGUAGAAGUUUGUGGCCAACGCAUUAAUAUUAUCUUCCCCUUGUAUCACAUGGUCAUCCUGAAGCAAAGAUAAAAUCCUCAUUUUCCUUCUUUUACCAUUUGCUUUCAGGUGAAAGUAUUUAGUAUUGUUAUCACCUUCCAUAACGAAUUUUUCCCUCGACUUCUGCCUUACUUUUGUUUCCUCCUCAAUCACAAUAUUUCUCAAACGAGCUUCAUAGACAAUUUUCUCCUGUUUUUCAUGAUCAGUCAGGCUAUUGACUUCGCUUUUCACAUCUAACUCCUUGAUUUUAACUGUCAGAUCCUUCUUCAAUUUCUUAUACCUUCCUUCAAUGUUAAUGUUCCACCCUUUAAGUUUUUUCCUCAAUCUUUUCACCUUUUCCUUCCAGAUCUCCAAACUUGAACUGCUCCUUACGGGUUUACUCCAGCACUCUUUCACAAUCUGACCAAAAUCGGGUCUGUGUUUCCAGCACAGUUCAUAUUUAAAAUCCCUCUUGUUAUAAAUUCUUGUACCAGAACUCAAACAAAGGGGGACAUGAUCAGAAAACGUUCUAUUGAGGCCCCUGACACAAGUGUCAUGGUAAGUUAAGUCCCAUUCCAGACUAACUAAGAAUCUAUCCAGCUUCUCAAACGUGGGGACAUCUCUAUUAUUAGACCAAGUGUAGAGUCUAUCAACCAAAUUCAGCUCAAUGAGACUAUUCUGGUCAAUAAUUGCAUUAAUCAAACUACUCCAUUUUUUCACCCACCCAGGUUUAUUUUUCUCCUCAUCUCUUCUAAUUAUAUUAAAGUCUCCACCCAAAAGCAUAGGGUGUUUGCUUCUGUGGCAAAAAGAGGAUAAUUCGCACAGAAAUCUGUUUUUUUCAUGUUCUUGCGCUGCUCCAUAUACAUUAAUAAAGUUCCAAAUAAUUUUUUUUUCUUUGUGUAAAAUCAAACAUCUGAUCAUAAAAUCCCCGACCUCUUGCUCCCUAACAUCAAAGCAAUCGCUAUUAAAGCCAACUAAAAGGCCGCCAGACCUACCUCUAGCGAUAGAAUGAAUCCAAAUGAAUUUUUUCCCCCACUGAUAGCAUCUAACCAAGAUUGGCUGAAGUUCUUUUUCAUAGUCUCUUGCAGACCUAUGAAAUCAGCCUUCUCAUCACAAAUGAGUUCUUUCAAGAACUCAAUCUUGCCUUGUUUCCUCAAACCCUGACAGUUCCAAAUGAUUCCAAUCAUUUAAAACUAUCUCUAAUGUCCUGUCUUUCCCUCAUCUGUCUCCUCUUUUCAGGAUUUUUUCCUGACUUUAGGAGAGGUGACCCACGUAUUUUUUCCUUCUGUUAUUUUUUUGAUGAUCUAUCGACUUUAAUCUAGUCAAUAUCAUUUCCUUCAUCCAGAAUACCAUCCUCUAUCCAUUUUUGUGCAUCACUAUCUGACUUCGCCUCCUCCUCUUUUUCAGAAGAGGGUGCAACAGUCACAGACUCACCCCUCUUCCCAUCCUGAAUUAUCAUAUUAGACCUAACUAAUUCUAGGGAUUUGAUAUGACGGAGACUACUUUCAGCUUCCCUACUAUUUUUUCCCAAAUCCACAUUCAGAAUAUUAGCUAUAUCUAUUAAUUCAGACUCUGAGGAAUUCAGAACGGAGAAAGGGUUAUGCGAAUUACCUUUGGAUAGAAAAGCAUCUUUGGCUGCAGCUCUAGAAAUAGCUUUCUCAGUCACAUUCAUCUCUUCAGAGGAUUCCAGUCUGGGACUCCUUCUUGGACCUUCAGCCUGCUCACCUACUUUUUGCUUCCCUUUCUUUUCAUUCUCCGCUUGAUUAUACUUCUUAGUAACUGCAUCCUCUUUUUUAUCAUCCACCUCUUCUUGUGGUGUGCUUAUAUCAACCCCAACACUUUUUGCUAGAGCUUCCAAUUCUUGAGAACUGAGCAAGUCUUCUUCACUAUCUUCGAGAUUCACUUUAUCAUCAUCAUAAUCUGAGCCCUCCACCAGACCCUCGGACACACUAGACCUUAUUUUUCCUUUAUCAUCUUCUGGAGAAAGGACAGUUUUGUCAAAAUCUGUCCCAACCUGACUGUCUUUAGUUUGUAAGAACACAUGUUUCUCCUCAUCUGUCUCUUUCCUUAUCUUUUUCCCAUUUUUUCCUUUUACCCACCACCCCCUAUGCUGGGUAUCCACAGAAGCUCUCUUUCCCAAGUUACCACUCUCUUCAUUCCAACCUUCCUCUUCAACGCCAUCAAUUUUGAAAAAAUGUCAAACAGGUAAGGUUUUACCCCAACUUCAAGCACAGGGGGGAUCAUAGAGAUGCUUUUGACAUGCACCUUGAACCUCACGCAAUUUUGCAUUUCUAAAGCUUUUAGAUCCACCUCCUCAACAGCACCCAAUGCCGAGCCUAGCUCGCAAAUAGCCUGGAAAUUACGUAACUCCUCAGGAACAUUUUCUGCCACCACCCAUAUCGUAUGCAGUCUUGCCUUGGCAGUGGCUGAAGAUAUCCAUGGAACCACUGAGAUCUUCACUCCUGACAUCUUCAUUUUUAACUCUGGAAAUUGAACCAUUUCAUCCAGUCUCUCCUGUGAAGGAAAUUGCAUGAUGUACCCAACCUGGCACUUGGUUGCUUUCCAAACACGUCCCCACGGGAAAUGGAAGUCAAAGUCCUUUACCAACUCUUCUGCAGAGACUCCUCCCUCCAGAACUUUUACCAAACCUAAGGCAUUAGGUUUGGUUUUUUGAGUUGAGAUUUAGCAAAUUGCAUCAUGUAGAAGCCUAAUCCAUCAGCUGCCAUCCCGACUAUAGGCAUGGUCGGUUUGGUCUGUUUAGGCCAAACACACUUCACCGUAACAUGGGUGUCUUUCCUACAAAUCUCACACCAUAAAUUUUUGCUACAGUCUCUAGCAUGAUGACCUUCAUCCCCACAUUUCUGACAGAACAAUUUCCUUCCCGAAUCAAUCUCAGUAAGCGAUGAUGGGGCAAUGGGAUUAGGAAUACCUGCGCUCUCGAUUUCCCCUGAUGUCGACGACCCCGGGAGAAUAACCUUGGGGCCACCCCUACCCAGAGGUGGUCUGAGCCGCCAGCUCAGAUUCCGAUUUCUUCCCCAUGGGGGAGUCACCUGCUGAUCACGGGGUCCUCUCCUGUCCCAUCCUUGACUCCGCUGCUUCGGAUCCAUCAUCCGGAGACCCUUAGCUCCCAACCUCGGCCACUCUUCCAGCUCGGAUGGGGGUCUGAAUGGUAAACGAUGCCAGCCACCUCCGUAAAGAGAAACGUAAUCAGUGGGUAGGAGCCACAUCCGAGAGACGAAUGCGGCGAGGUGUGGGAGGUUACGGGAACCCACUAGGUCAUUCGGACAGCUAGAAUCCACGACCAUCGGAUGCAAAUUCGGAUGUGAACGACCCCACGUGUCACCCAACGGAGCCUUCUCAAACUGGGCCGUAACCCUGUUCCCAGCUGGGCUGAAAUCACCACCACUGGAAAACGUCUGCGCGAUUUCAACACCCGGCAUCCAUCCCGUCCAAAUUUUUCCUUGCAUAUCAUGGAAAGAGCCUGUACGAUCAUCAGCUUCAAACUCCCAAUGCUCCAGAUUCCUGGUAUUCGACUCAGGAAGCGGAGCCACAGUGAGCGAAGCAUGAAUUGACAAAUGACGAAAAUCGCUUCUCAUCCCCAAUACUGAGGAAUGGAUAAACGCAGAGGAGAAGGAAGGACAGGGGAAACGACCGACACGUUCGUCUGAGUUGUAGAAGACCGAAUGAUUUGUCGCAACUCAGAACCACCACUACCAAAUCACACCCACCCGACCAAACGAAAUGAAAUGCAAUCGACGAACUCGAGGAAAAAAAUGUAGAAGCAAAACAGAGAGCAAUCCACUAAGAACGAGAAGCGAAAAAGGCCUCAAACCUGCCGACGGGUACUCAGACCCACCUGAGGAGCGACCCAAGUCUCCGAUAGAUUCAGCAGCUCGAGAUUGCACACCACCAGACGACGGGGGACGCGAUGAGGCAGCGACGAGGAGGGUGGUGCGACGGGUGGCCGGGAUGGAGAGCCGGAGAGGAGACGCCUAUCAGGGGAGCAGAGGAAGGCGGGAGGAGAUGGUAAAAAGGGGGAUGCGCGAGGAAGGCCGGGGCGGUGCUCCAGCGAGGUGCGGGAGGAGGCGAGGGAGGAUGGGCAGAGGUAGGCGGAGGAGGCGAGGGAGGCCGGGGCGGUUCUCCGGCGAGAGGGGCGGUGCUCCAGCGAGGUGCGGGAGGAGGCGAGGGAGGAGGGGCAGAGGAAUUUAAAUCACAAGCUAAGUGUAAUAAGUAUAGCUAGAAUUUAAGCAAAAUAGGUGUAAUGAUGUUAGAUGAAAGUAGAUGGAUGUCUCUGUCUAUAUAACAAGAAUUGUAUAUACUGAAUUGGGUUCAAGUGAUCCGGCCGAUGAUUAGAUGCAGACUGCUCCUUCCUAGCAUGCCCCGCCCAAACGACGGCCUAAGAAACUACCACAGGCCAAUACGCACAUAGAUCCAACAAACUAGAAGCUGGACUAUUGCAACUGCAAGCAAACGAACUCAUACCGUGGUUCAAGAAUAACAGCGGUGCUGGCUGUCCACGUCGCGGUGUGUGUGGAACGGCGGCGAGAUAAAAUCUCCGGCGGCGUCGGCGAAUUCUGGGUGCGGCGGCUCCCUCCCUCUCUCUCUCUGCAAUGGCGAUGGCCCGCAAGGUCUCUGCGACGAAGGCUCUAGUAGAUGGAUCAUGUCCUUUACAAAGGUUUACAAUCACAAUACAAGUUAUCACGGGCCGAUUGGUCAUUUCAUCUUUAAGUCGGUGCAUUUGGAAAUAUACUCUGAAACCCUCUGAUUAAUAGCUUCGGCUUUGUGCCAGUCUUCCGAAGGUGUUUCUUCUUAUGGAACCUUCGGCGACGAAAUAGGCCCCAACAGUGCGCAACCAAACGGGCUUGCUAGCUACUAGUGAGCUACGCCACGCGCCUGCCGGGUGAUGAAACGUUUAACGGAACGAUGAUGUAUGUAUGUCUGUCUGACCGACCUGACCUACACGCUAUCGCGUUAGAUUUUGCACUGCACGCGAUGCGACGGACAACGGGACAAGCUAGCUAGCUAUAGCGCGCACCGGCACCGGCAUCUAUAGCGACGGCGACGGCGACGGCGACGGUGGCGCGCGCGGGCCAUCUUGCGGUGUGCAGCUGCGCCGGUGCGGGCGGACGGACUCGGCGCGCGGGCCGGCCGGCCGGGGAGCGCGUGGAUCGGAGCCGCGCGUCGCCAUCGCCCGCCAGGCCGCCACCACACCACCGUCGCACACCUGGACCGGCUCGGCGCAACGGACGGUGACCGCCGAGAGCGAAAAGCCGCUUUCUUCCCUUUCCCGUCGCGCCCAAGCCCAACCAGUGCAGCCACCCUCGCAUGGCGGGUUUUUUUUGACCCUUUCGUCGUCGUUCGUUUCCG